AGGGCUACACACGUGUUACAAUGGUCGGUACAGGAGGGCAGCUACCCGGUGACAGGAUGCUAAUCUCGAAAACCGGUCUCAGUUCGGAUCGAAGUCUGCAACUCGACUUCGUGAAGCUGGAUUCGCUAGUAAUCGCGCAUCAGCUAUGGCGCGGUGAAUACGUUCCCGGGCCUU
This 174-nucleotide ribosomal RNA is filed under the name uncultured Sphingobacteriales bacterium. RNAcentral describes it as "partial 16S ribosomal RNA". It matches the Rfam family "Bacterial small subunit ribosomal RNA", at positions 1210 to 1382 of the family's 1533-position model. Lineage: Bacteria; Pseudomonadati; Bacteroidota; Sphingobacteriia; Sphingobacteriales. The record is from RNAcentral.